GUUGGUGAAAGUGCAUAGAGUAGGUCAUGAAAUGUUGAGGGGUGAAAAUUCUACAAAAUUGUUAUGCUGCAGAAUUAUGUAGUCUUCUCACUGAGCGAAUUAGUCACUGAACGAGUGUAGUCGUUGAGCGAGUAGAACUAUAUCUAGCUGAGCAAGUGUAGUCGUUGAGCGAGCAAAACCCAUUGUUUUUGUAUUCGCAAAACGAGUUAGGGGGUUGAGCGAGUUAGUCCAGGGAGAGAAAAUUGUUGUAGCAGUGGAUGGGCAAGAGUCUUUGCUUAGCGAGAAAGAUUUCUUUUUGUUAAACGAGUGUGGGCACUGAGAGAGUAGAACGAUAUCUAAUUAAGCGAGUAUGGAUGUUGAACGACCAGUUCAGAACACGUUUUGAGUGUUUCUUUCUUUUGUUUUCUAGUAAAUUUGAACUAUGUGGGGGUUUUGAGGAUUGUGUAAAAGUAUAUAUUUUGAAUUACAUGAUGGUAUAUUCUUGAGGUUUUGUAUGUAUUUGAAGUAUGGUUGAAAAAAGUUUUCUGAGGUGAAAUUCUUAGUUGUUUGUUUCAAAG
This 557-nucleotide long non-coding RNA is filed under the name Vigna radiata. RNAcentral's name for it is "long non-coding RNA (VRAD_LNC009067)". The record is from RNAcentral. Lineage: Eukaryota; Viridiplantae; Streptophyta; Magnoliopsida; Fabales; Fabaceae.